Oxyura jamaicensis (ruddy duck) is the source of this 160-nucleotide long non-coding RNA. RefSeq lists it as uncharacterized. NCBI's taxonomy places the organism in Eukaryota, Metazoa, Chordata, Aves, Anseriformes, Anatidae. The record is from RefSeq and is a predicted model, not a curated record. The transcript has 3 exons.
AAUGCCUGCCAACAAUUCAGCAUAACUUGAUCUAAUACGCGUCUUAGUCUCCAGCUAAGACUAUAUGGUAACCUCCAGCUUUCAGGUUCUAACUUCUAAUUUAAAAAAUCACAUUCCUAAAACUCUAGGAGGCUAGUAGACUUAAAUGACAAACAUAAAA